Molecule: long non-coding RNA, 130 nt
Organism: Amblyraja radiata (thorny skate)
Lineage: Eukaryota; Metazoa; Chordata; Chondrichthyes; Rajiformes; Rajidae
Exons: 4
Source: RefSeq, a predicted model, not a curated record
UUGUAUGGUUUACUUUAAUCUGUUAUAUUUUACCUGUUUUUAAGAUACAAACAAUUGAUAAAGUGCACAAAGAAAGAUCAUACAAUAAGUAAGAUAACUGCAGUUUAAUUGCUAAGUAAAGAAGUUCCCC